UGGAGAGAGACUGGGAAUCACAAUGACAGUUGGCUGUGAGGUUGUACCCUUGGGAGAUGAAAUAACUCUGUCAUCAGUGAAGAGCUUCCUAAUGACAUGGAGGGCUCUGGGAUCAAGACCUCCAUCCUGGCUCCACUUUCCUAGGCAUUAUGCCAGCCUUGGAAGACCAAGAAAGAAGAUCCCUAGAGCAAGCUGGCUGGCAGGACUAGAUAUAACGGCGAGUUCUGGGUCUGAUUGCAAGACACCGCCUCAGUGAAUAAAGUGGAAGAGAAAUUGAAGAUGAUUCCUGGCAUCAACCACAGGCCUCCACAUGUGUGCACAAAUGUGUGUA
Molecule: long non-coding RNA, 331 nt
Filed under: Cricetulus griseus (Chinese hamster)
Lineage: Eukaryota; Metazoa; Chordata; Mammalia; Rodentia; Cricetidae
Description: lncRNA (ENSCGRG00015034075.1)
Source: RNAcentral